This 116-nucleotide ribosomal RNA is filed under the name Yersinia enterocolitica. Lineage: Bacteria; Pseudomonadati; Pseudomonadota; Gammaproteobacteria; Enterobacterales; Yersiniaceae. RNAcentral also lists the same sequence under 3 other names. The record is from RNAcentral.
CCUGGCGGCCAUAGCGCGGUGGACCCACCUGAUCCCAUGCCGAACUCAGAAGUGAAACGCCGUAGCGCCGAUGGUAGUGUGGGGUCUCCCCAUGCGAGAGUAGGACACUGCCAGGC